This is a long non-coding RNA of Marmota monax (woodchuck), 3277 nucleotides long. RefSeq lists it as uncharacterized. The record is from RefSeq and is a predicted model, not a curated record. Lineage: Eukaryota; Metazoa; Chordata; Mammalia; Rodentia; Sciuridae. The transcript has 3 exons.
GGAGGUACAACGCACCGAGGGAACGGAAAGUGUGAGAACCAGCUGGAAAAGCUGCCCCUUCAUAGCUACGUGGCGCGGCUGCAAGCCUCGCGCGGCGCAGGCUCCUGGCGUGGUGCCUGCGGGUUCUUUCGCCCGCCCACGACGGAAGAUUCGCUGACACAAAGGUACCGGUUACUGAGGGAGACGUCACCAUGAAGACCAGAAGGUCGAUGGCAGAACUUGACAACAGGGCGCCGGGCAGAAGGCACAGUUUGGACUCGGUACACCCCAGGGACACAGCCCCGGAGAAUGGAUCCCACGAGCUCCAGCAUUGCUGCUCCCUCUGGCUUCUCCCCCUUUGGGGCCUCUGCUAGUUCCAGGGCCUUUCCCAGGUCCUGCUCUCCCCUGUCUUCCUGCAGUGGUGAGGCUGGAGGCAGGGACUGGGGAGAGGCAACAGUCUCAGAGGCCAAAGCCGAGUCCGGAGUCUGGGGUGCCAGGGAGGAGGAAGGAGUUCCACAGUCCAGGGCUUCAGAAUCUUGGGGAGAAGCUGGAGACUGUGAGCCUAGAGGGGAGGCUAGGGCACAGGCCAGGGCUUGAGGAUCCAGUGGAGAAGCAAGGGCUGAGUCCAAUGAUGGAGACUCGGGAGCCUUUAAGACUGACUGUGGAUAGAAAUGAGCUGUGUGAAUGCCUCUCCUACUAUCCCCUAAUCAGGGGACAUCUCUGACCCCAAGACAGUAUCUAUACUUAACGGUUAUUAUAUGCCAGUCUCUAUUCUAUGGGCUUUACAUAUAUUAACUCAUUUUCUCCUUCCUCCUAGCAAUCCUUUCUUAAAAUAAACUUUAAUCCUAUAAAAUGGUCUAUAUUUUACAAAACUAUCAUUGUCAUGAAAGACAAAGAAAGGCAGAGGAACUAUUCCAAAAUAAAGACUAAAAAUACAACAGGACAAUGUCAGGACAGCUGUACCAGUAUAACAUUUCCUGGACUUGAUCACUGUACUGGGGUUACACACUAGAGUGCCUUUGUUCUUAAGUAAUUCACAUUAAAAUAUUAAGGGUAAAAGGACAUGAUGACUGCAACCUUCUCUUAAGUGAUUCUGAAGAUAUAAAUUGUGUGUAUGUAAAGAAAUAGAGAUUGGCGUUUUUCAAGAAAACAACCAACCCCUAGCCAGGCUAGAUGAGGCAUGCCUGUAAUGCCAGCCAACUCAAGAGGCUGAGGCAAGUUUGAGAUCAGCCUCUGCAACUUAGCAAGACACUGUCUCAAAAUAAAAAUUUAAAAAAGGUCUGGCAAUAUAGCUCAGUAGUACAUAAUCCCUAGGAAAGAAAGAGAACACAACUCUUUUUGGGGUUGGGGAUGUAGCUUAGUGGUAUAUCACUUAGUUAGCAUGCCUGAAGCCCUGGGUUCCAUCCCAGCACUGCAAAGAAAACAAUGACACUUUUUGUGGGGGCAACAGGUAUACAGGAACUCUACUUUCUGCUUCACUUUUCUAAGAACCUAAAACUGGCCUAAAAAAAUAAAGUCAAUUAUUAAAAAAUAACCAUAGCCCUUUCCUAUUCCAAAAAUAAAAUGUGUACAUUAGAUGUCAGAAAAUAUACAUAAGCAAAAACAUAAUCCUAAAAUUACUCUAUAACCUUUUAUCCAUCCAUAUUCACAUUUCUCCAAUAACAAUAACCCUUUCACAUAUGUCCCAUUAUUCCCAUCUUUAUAAAUGUAGAACUAAGGCAGAGAGGUUAAGAACUUGCCCACAGUCAUAUGACCAUUCCCUGCCUGCCUCCCUGAUCACUCACCUGGGGCUCUUCCAAGUCACCCAGAUCCAAGAAGAGGUCAAGAUCACAGCCAUGGACAUCAAAGCUGUUUAUGGACGAGCCAAAAGGAUGGACCACACAGCCUAAGUGCCAAGCAGAGAACAAAGGUGCAGAAACAUUAGGGAAGAGCAGGAGACUUCAGAACACAGUGGAGUACAAAAAUGAAAGACCAAUCAAAUAAACACCUCCAGGUGAGGAGACCUACGUAUUCAGACACGGCAGAGCAAAGGACAGGAAGGGAUCACACGCUGGGGAAGGGGACUUACCAGGGAAGAACUCUGUGAAGACCUCCUGCAUCAGGGCCACCACAAGGCUCCGAAGCUGCUGCUCAGCCUCAGACAAUUCCCUCAACUGGACAAGUUUUACCAUCUGUGCUUCCACAUCUGGAGCCUCAGCUAGUGCUUUCGCCAGCUGGUGACUAUCAGGCACUGCUCCUUUGGGGGAUUUGGAGGCUGGACUCUGGAACUCCUUCUGCUCCCGUGGCCGGACCCGCAAGCGAUGUCCUCCCAGGCUGUGUUGGGAUUGUGAUAAGACAGCCUCCCGAGCACCCAUGUCUCCCAUCUCCACAAUGGCAAAUACUCCCUGGCAAACCACAGGAAUGAUGGUUUUGCAACCAAGAAUCUAAACACAUGCUCCCACAAAGUAUAAGAUUCUUUGAAAUGCAGAUUAACCCAUGCAUUGGGAAUAUGUACUUGUUUUCAUUAACAGGGAACCUAUUUAGAAAAGCAAUUGUUGGGCUGGGGUUGUGGCUCAGUGGUUAGAGCGCUCGCCUCGCGUGUGCAAGGCCCUGGGUUUGAUCCUCAGCACCCACAUAAAAAUAAAUAAAUAAAUAAAGUUUAAAAAAGAAAGAAAAGCAAUUGUCUCUCAGAAUUCUCAUACAUCAUAUUCUCACCCCAGUAUGCCUCUGGAAAAAUCUCAUUUAUUGUUCCUUAUUUUUCCCAAUAAUAUGAUUUCACAAGCUAUAAUAUGAUCCAUUCCUUAACUCUUCCUGGUUUGACUUAACAUUUAUGAAAACUCCAUAUAGGCUGGGUGCAGUGGCAUACCCCUGGAAACCCCAGCAACUUAGGAAACUGAAAGUUCGAAGCCAUCCUCAGAAACUUGGCAAGACCCUGCCUCAAAAUCAAACAUAAGCUGGAUGCAGUGGUGCCCACCUAAAAUCCCAGUGGCUCAGGAAACUAAGGCAGGAGGAUCACAAGUUCAAAGUCAGCGUCAGCUGGCUUAGUGAGGACCUAAGCAACUGUGUGAGACCCUGUCUCAAAACAUAAAAAGGGCUGUGGAUGUGGCUCAGUGGUUAAGCACCUCUGGGUUCAAUCCCUAGUACCCAAAUAAAUAAGACUGGGGAUAUAGCUUGGAGGAAGUGAACCCGGGUUCAAUUCCAGUACAAAAAAAAAAAGAACCACAUGGCACUGGGGGUUAACUCAAUGGUAGACCACUUGCCUCGAAUGAGCAAGGCCGUGGAUUCAAUCCCCAAGACCACACACACACACACACACACA